UGGUCUUCGUAAGAGGGC
Molecule: non-coding RNA, 18 nt
Filed under: Arabidopsis thaliana (thale cress)
Lineage: Eukaryota; Viridiplantae; Streptophyta; Magnoliopsida; Brassicales; Brassicaceae
Source: RNAcentral